This 6269-nucleotide long non-coding RNA is filed under the name Capsicum annuum. Its description in RNAcentral is "long non-coding RNA (CANN_LNC006875)". Lineage: Eukaryota; Viridiplantae; Streptophyta; Magnoliopsida; Solanales; Solanaceae. The record is from RNAcentral.
UCUAAGUCAAGCUUUUUGGUAGAAACACUGAGGCAACCUCAUCUCUCAUCGACGCCAUGUUUCUUUCCCAAUCAUGAAGUCUUGUUCAAGCUUGCUACUCAGAUGUAGUGAUUGCUACUUCUACAGGUACUCCUACUGUAAAGAAAUGAUUUAGGGUAUUUAACCACUUUGUUGUAAUUUCGUAUCCAUUUCACAUUUUAUCUGAUUUCUCUUCGAUGGGAUGAACCUCAAUCGAAGUUAAUAACACCAUCAGAAGAUAAUCAAAUUUCAUGCGAAAAAGCUACAAAAUGACACUCUAUUUGCUGCAAUUAUUUUUCUCGAACUUUAGAUAACUUGUAUAUAGGCUCCAGCUUUGUGUUGUUUCUUGUGUGUUGAUCCCUUUAACCUUCUGAAUUAUCCCUCUCUCUCUGCGAUUAUAUCUAUAAUUUAGCUCUGUUAAGGAGGAUCCUAUCUCUUUUUGUUUGUAAAUCUUAGAUAUGGAAUUUGUCUUUUAUCUUCAAAUAAAAUUUGUUGUGCUUUGUGUGGUUGUUUCUUAUGGUUGUGGCAUGUCACUGUACCUGCAAAAUGAACAAACUUGUUAGCUAAAAAUCCGCAAGUUGAUUUUCUUCUCUGUAGUUGUGCUUGAUCUAUACUUCCCCUUUAUUUCUCCAAUAUUUAAUCAACUCAACCCCCAUAUUGCUUGUCCAUAGAUAGUCCAGUCCUUAUUGACUACCUUCUGCACAGUUAAUGAAUCAGUCUUCACUAUAAAUGGUAGCAUUCUAUUUUCCACACAAUGUUGCAGCCCCUUCUGAAUUACUAAAGUCUCAUCCUUCAAACAAGUAGUAUAGGGAAUGCACUUAGACUCUACAUAGACUAAAUCACCUAGACAAUUCCUUACACAAAAUGCAAUUGUGCUGUAAUCUAUGUUGUCUCUUAAUGAGGCAUCAGUAUUGCAUUUGUAGUAACCUCUAGGUGGUAAAUCCCAACUUACAACCUGGCAAUUCCUUCUCCCAACAUCCCUAUUGUUCUCCAGUUUAUCAUUCAACAAUGGCCAACUACUAGGGAGUUCUGUUAUUGUAGGGAACUUGACUUUUGCAAAAAGGUACAAAUUCUGAUUAUUAUCAUGAAUUACCCUAUGCCUAGACAUACUUCCUCAAUGUAAAAAACAAUUUCUUCUCUUCCAUAAUUACCACAAAAUAAAAGUUGGGGCUGCCUGUACAAUGAUUUAAUCCUAGGUGAACUUUCUGCUUGGCACCACAUAUUUAUUGACUGAUUAAUAUGAAUAAAAUUCCCUUGAAUGUCUGCUGCAUUUGCAUAAAUUCUCCAUAUGUUAGAAGCAAAUUCCCCAGUAGGAAAAAGAUGCUCCAUAGUCUCUAUUUCACAAUAUUUACACCUGGAAGCCAUAUGCACUCCAUUUCUAGGCUAAACAUCAUCUAUUGUUACCUUUUCCAUCCAAAUUCUCUAUGUAAAAAAGAAAUUUUAAAUGGCAUACUUGAUUGCCACAAUUGUUUGAAAAGCCAGUGCUCCCCCUCCUUAUGUAUUGUGAAUUUCCAAGAACUUUUAACAGUAAGUAAAUUUACCAUUAUUAGUUAGCAACCACCAAGCUUUAUCCCUUACUUUCGAGUGGAUUAUUCUUGGAUAUUCCUUCAAAAUCUGGUUAUCCAACUGCAUUGGUAGUUGUUGUUUGAGCAAGUCAACAUUCCAUGCUUCAUUCAUGUAAAACUGCCUCACCUUUGGACUGUAUGAAUUCUGUCCUGACGGUACAAGCUGAUACAAAGGACCCAAUUUAGUCCUGUUAUCAUACCAAAAGCUUGUUGUACCAUUCUUGGAUUCUCACCAGAUCAGAUGUUCUAUUUCAUCCCUAGCUUCCAACAUCUUCUUCCACAAUUGUGAUCCCCUUUUCCAUGUGACCAUAGUAGGAAUUUUCUUCUUACAAUACUUGUUCCACAUAAAUGUGGACCAUAAAGAACAACCUGUCCUAAAGUUCCACCACAAUUUGGCAAAUAAAGCAUUCGAGAUUUCAAAUAAAAAUCUAAAACUCAUUCCCCCUUCUGUUUUAGGUAAACACAUCUUUAACCAGGCUCUCCAAUGUCUAUAUUUUCCUUCUUCCUUAUUACUCCAGAAAAACCUAGCAAAUGUCCUAUGUAUCUCAAGAAUAGUAUAUUUGGUAUGUUCCAUGACAGAUAAUAGAUAAAGAGGAAUGCUUUGUAAAACUUGUUGGAUAAGAAUAGCCUUUCCACCAUAUGAUAACAACUUUCUUUUCCAAUGUCGUAGGUGAUCUUUUAUGUUAAAAGAUACAUUAUGAUGGUGUAACGCCCUAAAAUCGGGUCUCGAGAUGUCACACGGUGCUUAAGGUCACAAGUGACCCCAAGCUAACCUUUCUACUGGCAUAACUCAUAAGCAAUUGAAUAAAAAUACAAAUCCAUACAAAUCAGCAAAAAUUAACUCUUUUCUGAAUCUGAUCGAUACAAAAAUGGAAUUUUACAGGAUUACAAUUCUGCCUUUACAACCAAAAUUGAAACAAAAUACAUUAACUUCUACUGACUAUCUAUGAAGCCUCUACUAGUACUGACUGUAGGUAGCCGAGUCAUGACUCCCGACUACCUCAACUCAAUACGACUGAAUAAAGAAAAUACAACACUAUAAACUCUGCAUAACUAACCUAAGCCCUUGAAUCAAAAGAACUCAUCACCUGCUGACUGGAUACCUCGAACUGACUGGAUCUGAAGGUACAACUAUACCUUGUACCUACAUUCCGAGAAAAUGUAUAUGCAUGCUGAUAUAGAUGACUCACUUAGCUCGAAUUAAAUCAUCAAAAUCAUGGAUGAAUAAUACAUGUAAAGUAAAACAAGUGAGUCAUUACAAUACGUUCUCAAUUCACUUUCAUCUCAAUUUCAAAUCAUCAAAACAAUCAAAUCUUAUGUCAAUUCUCAUUAGAAUAUAUUCCUUAAAUCUUUUAAGAAUAAUGACUUUCUCAAACUCAGCCUUUUAAGCAAAUAUGUUUUCAUCUCAGAUAGAAGAGUAAACAUACACACAUUGGGAGAUCCUAUAACCGACAUAAACUAUGUGAGCAACAUGGAGUCCAACGUACAACCCACGUUGGGGAGAGUCAUCCUAUCCUGGCCAUCGGAGUAGGACUUCCAGUAUCAAUUCAAAAACACUAGUGAUCACUAUAUAAAUCAGCCCCAGGCUCACAUCCUAUGGGGGCACGUAGUUCUAGGAAAGUAAGGUCACUUUAUACCUCCCACUCGGUGCUAAAGAUUACUCUCAGACUUAGCUCAGAAAUUUAAAUUAGUCUCAGGCUCACAUUAAAGAAAAUCCACAAUAAACACUUCAAUAAUUUUCAUUGGUAGCCAAUUUGCUACCCCUUUAUCAGAAUCAAUAAAAACGUGGAUUUCUUUCACAAUCGAGUUCAAAUAACUCAUUCAUGACCAAAAGGUCAAAUCAUUCAAAAUAUCUCAAAUAUUCAACAUCAACGUGCUUAUAACACACACUUUCUCAAAAAAACACAAUUUCCAAUGGAGAUUCACGACCCAAAUAUCAAAAUCAUGAUAAAUAUCGUUUNNNNNNNNNNNNNNNNNNNNNNNNNNNNNNNNNNNNNNNNNNNNNNNNNNNNNNNNNNNNNNNNNNNNNNNNNNNNNNNNNNNNNNNAAUUUGUAAAAAUCAAAUAAAAAUCAUGCCUUUGUAAAGAAAAUUACUUUUGGGCAUAAGAACGAAAGAGAGUUCUUGUUGAAAAACUCCACAUACCUUGAAUGAUGAACUUUAGAUCGAUACUCAUUUUUUAUAUUUUAAUCGUGCCUUUGAAUGAUGGUUCUUGGAGUUCUUGAACUAGGAACUUGGAAUCUUGAAUAAAUUUGUAGAAUUAAUGGUGAACUUUGGAGGUUCUUGAAGUUGGAUGUAGGAGCUUAGGGUUUUCUUUUUGAGGGAAUUUGAUGAAAUAUAACAUAUAAUGCUUCUAAUAGGCCUUAAUAUAGGAUUUGGAUGAAUUUUGGGUGAGGGAGAAUGACCAAAACACCCCUAAAAAUCAAAUAAUUCUUGCAUCUGUCCUUUGGUGGAUUGUUUUGAUAGUCUGAAGUAGAUCAACCAUAAUAUUUUACUCCGAUAUCCAAAUUGGAUGAAACCAAUUUCAUUAGAAAUAGGACUCUCGUAUCUUUCCGUUGAUAUAUAGUAUCUCACCCAGAUCAUUGUGUACGAGGAGUUAUGAUCGUUUGAAGUUGACCCAAAAAUUUACUUUUGAUAGGCUGAAGUAGAUCGACCAUAAUUUUUUGCUCUGAUAGACAAAUUGGAUGAAACUAAUUUCAGUGGAAAGAGGACUCGUAGAGCUUUCCGUUGAUAUAUAGUAGAUCAACCAGAUCAUUAUGUACAAGGAGUUAUGAUCGUUUAAAUUUGGAGCAAAAAUACGCCAGGCCUCAGUACUUUUUUUUCCUGCACGUUUUACUGUUCAUAGUUCGAUCGGAAUGGUCGUAGUUCGAUCGGAUUGGUCGUAACUCAUCGCUCGAGUGUCCGUUUUUGAUGAUCUACAUAUUGUUGGAAAGAUUAUUUGAUACUCUACGCAAUGGUAGGUCAACAUCUUAGAAAUACUACACAAAAAAUUUAUGGAUCACUCUAAAGCGUAGAUCUCGAUACGUUUCUCACGAAAUCUUUACAAAGAAAAUUUUCUGGGGUAUUACAGAUGGUGUACCAACCCUACUAUAAUUAAUUGACCUUGUAUUUACUGCCCAUAUUCUAAAAGUGUGUCAAAGUGUCACAUGUUUCUCUUAUAUGAGUCAAUAAGAUCCAAGAUUAUACAAGUUAAGAGUGUCACAUGCUAGAUUACAAUCUAUCCAAAAUUUCUUUAAUUGGUCAUAUACUUCUUUUGGCUACACAUGUUCUUUUUUUUUAAUAUCAUUCCAAUCGUGUUUGGGCAUAAGGUGAUCUUAUAGAGUCUGCCUAUUUAGUAUAAAGUUUAUAUAUCCUUAUGUGGGAUAUAUAUUUAUUCCUAAUUAGAAUCUGCCCACGUGCUUCAAUAGUACCCAUUCUCACGUACCCUUCUAUUUGUUAUUACCUAGUAAGUAUUUAUUGUAUAGUCCAAACCUCUUUAGUUAAGGAGUUACUUAUCUCAACUUGGUAUGCACAUAUUCCUCCAUUUGAAAUAUCUAAAUUUCUACACUUAAAUAUGCCCCAAUUGCUAUACGCUAGGUAAGAUCACUAGAAUCUACCACAACCCAUAUAUGCUAUGUUAUGUCACUUUCUUAUUAGUUAUACACCUUACUAGCUUAUUUGUUGCAUGUCAUCAUCUCCCUGCUUAUCACAUGCCUUCUUGGCUCAUUAGUUAAUAUAUUUUAUGUCCAGUGAGGCUUAUGGUGUCAUAUAAGUUCCAAAGUAUUACCCUUAUUUCCUAUAUCAUUGUUUUUGUCUCGAUCAUAUGCCUUCUUCUAUUGGUUCAUGUCUCUAAAGCUCAAUAAUGUUAUGACAACCAAAAUAACAAUCUAAAAGAUUAAAGAAGUGAUGUAAAGUAAAUAUACUUAUGUAUGAGUGGUAGCUCAGGGGCGAGAGCCUAGCAUAGGCCAAUCUCAAUUUAUUGAUUUAUGGGUGGUAUCCCAGGGGUGAAAGGAACACCUAGCAUGGGUCAAUCCUAUUAUCGGGUAGUAUCCCAUGGGUGAAAGAAAAGCCUAGCAUGGGUCAAUCCCAAUUUAUGUAUUGAUGAGGAACGUAUCCCAGGGGUAUAAUACCUAGCAUGGGCCAUCCUCUUUUACCAUUGAUCAACUAGACAUAUGUAUCACAUGCCUUAUAAAUAUUAUAAAGAAAAGAAGAGUAAAGUAAAGAAAAGCAUGUAAUGUACAGUUUUCCACAAGUGUAAGUAAAGGUGGUCGUUCAUCAUUUUCUAUAAAGUUUAUAUAUAUUGACCCCUAGUUUCAUUGAUUUUUUAUUUCACUUUAUGGUUAUCUCAUGCCUUACAUAUUCAGUACAUUACUUCGUAUUGACAUCCCUUACGUGGGACCAGUGUUCUAUGUUGCAGGCACAGGUUUUUAACGAGUAGAUCUCCCCAAUAAAACACAGGAUACUCAGCGGCUAUUGGUGAGCUCCAAGUUGAUUUGGGUCCUUUCUGAGUCUUUAGUAUAUAUAUUUUGAUGGUUUUACAGUAAUGGAUUCCAUUAAAGGCUUUGUAGACAUUGUAAAGUAGUCAUAUGUAUUCAUAGAUUCACAUGUCAUCUGAAUCAGUUUGGCUAAUUGGUUGGUGUUGUAUAUAUAGCAUUUUAUCAGCGAUUUCAUUUGUUUAAUGGUUCAUUUUCUCAUCUAGUUUAUUUUAA